AGCGAACGCUGGCGGCAGGCUUAACACAUGCAAGUCGAGCGGCCACUCACGAGGGUCAGCGGCGGACGGGUGGGGAACGCGGGGGGACGGGGCCUCACGUUCGGAUUAACUUAUGGGAACUUGAGCUAAUACCGGAUACGCCCUUUUUGGGAAAGGCUUGCUGCGGGAGGAUCGGCCCGCGCCUGAUUAGUUGGGUGGUGGGAUAACGGCUCACCAAAGCGACGAGCAGUAGAGGGGCUGAGAGACAGAUCCGCCACACUGAGACUGGGACGCGGUCCAGAAUCUUACGGGAGGCAGCAGUGGGGAAUAUUGGACAAUCGGCGCGGGCCUGAUCCAGCCAGGCUGCGUGAGUGAUUAAGUCCUUAGGGUUGUAAAGCUCUUUUAUCCGGGACGAUAAUGACGGUACCGGAGGAAUAAGCCCCGGCUAACUUCGUG
RNAcentral lists this ribosomal RNA (435 nucleotides) under uncultured bacterium. RNAcentral's name for it is "partial 16S ribosomal RNA". It matches the Rfam family "Bacterial small subunit ribosomal RNA", at positions 28 to 507 of the family's 1533-position model. The record is from RNAcentral.